UGGGGAAUAUUGGACAAUGGGCGCAAGCCUGAUCCAGCCAUGCCGCGUGAGUGAUGAAGGCCCUAGGGUUGUAAAGCUCUUUCACCGGUGAAGAUAAUGACGGUAACCGGAGAAGAAGCCCCGGCUAACUUCGUGCCAGCAGCCGCGGUAAUACGAAGGGGGCUAGCGUUGUUCGGAUUUACUGGGCGUAAAGCGCACGUAGGCGGACUAUUAAGUCAGGGGUGAAAUCCCGGGGCUCAACCCCGGAACUGCCUUUGAUACUGGUAGUCUUGAGUUCGAGAGAGGUGAGUGGAAUUCCGGGUGUAGAGGUGAAAUUCGUAGAGAUUCGGAGGAACACCAGUGGCGAAGGCGGCUCACUGGCUAGAUACUGACGCUGAGGUGCGAAAGCGUGGGGAGCAAACAGG
RNAcentral lists this ribosomal RNA (404 nucleotides) under Actinomycetes bacterium. RNAcentral describes it as "Actinobacteria bacterium partial 16S ribosomal RNA". It matches the Rfam family "Bacterial small subunit ribosomal RNA", at positions 355 to 776 of the family's 1533-position model. Lineage: Bacteria; Bacillati; Actinomycetota; Actinomycetes. The record is from RNAcentral.